Molecule: long non-coding RNA, 2375 nt
Organism: Seriola aureovittata
Lineage: Eukaryota; Metazoa; Chordata; Actinopteri; Carangiformes; Carangidae
Exons: 5
Source: RefSeq, a predicted model, not a curated record
UGGCUGAAAGCCAAACGGAGUUGGUCGCUAAAAAAAAUUCCACCUCCAUUAUGAGGAAUUGGUUUGGAUUUUCCGCAACUGAUCAAGCGCAAGCAAAUGUAAUUUGCAAAAUUUGCUCAGAAACCGUUCGCACGUCGGGUGGUAACACGACGAACCUGUUUAAUCACCUGAAGAGGAAGCACCCCAAGCAGUAUGCUGAGAGCCAAACAGCUAACAGAUAAUUCAGAGCAGCUCAUUAGUUUCCAUUCAUCUGGUUGUGGAGAAGGGAGACUGCAUGGACAUCCUUAAUUCUCUAAUGUGCUGUGAUGAUGAUGGUAGAAAACCACUCCCAGUUCAGCUUCCUCUGAUGAAAUGACAGACUAACUGCUGAUGAGUUUGUUUAUUAUUCUCUGUCUUCAGUAUUCACAGGUUCACUUUCUUACCUGCAACUUCAUUCUGCUGCUAUUGUUGACAGGUGAUGGUAGCAACACUUUUAAGAUCAGAAUUUAUAAAUAUUAAAGCUAUUGUGAAAAUUCAUACCAGAUGUGUUCUAUAAAAACCAUCAACAAAGUUAAAGCAAGAGCUUCAGAAAUAACUUUAUUGGACAUUAUAAACUACAUUGAUUUGAACUAUUUACAACACUGGAAAUGUGUAAAAGAAUAAUAAAUGGAUUAAUUAAAUACUGUAGUGUACAAUUUACAAUCAACCAUUUAAAAUCGAAAAAAUAGUUGUAGAUGAAGUUAAAGCUGAAUUUCACUGUCAUAUGUAAGUUUGUUUAAUAAAAAGACGUAGUUGAAUCAACAGUGCAACAGAGUAACAACUAUGUUCAUUAUUCAUCAUGACUCCUAAUGUGUGAGACAGUUAAUAUUUAUUUGCUCCAGUAACAAUCUCCCUCUAAAUAAGUGAUGCUGUUGGAACAGCACACUGAUAUGAGCACCAUGUUUUUACAGUUUUGUGCUUUGCAUGUGUUCAGACAUUGACAGAAGCUCUUCCUCUUUCAGUGUUUUGUAUUGCCUCACCACUAAUGUUUUUUUAUAUAGAAGUCUUCUACAAAUUCUUCCCAUGUACAUGUAUCAUUUGUUCAGAUUUAUUCAUAAAGUCUUGUUUUAUUACAGUAUAUGCUAAAUAAGGUUUAAAAGGAUGAUUGAUAGAUCUUUUAUGUUCUGAAGUACUUUAUAAUGCUUCAAAAACAUUUCAUAGUCAAGAGGAGCUGCUAAACAUUUUCUUAUUUUUUCUUCUGUUAUAUGUCAUGGGAUGGCAGAAUCCACCUCGGGCUGGAACCACACCUUGCCGUCGCUGAAACCAGCAAGAAAUGCAUGGUGGCCAGAUUGACGACACCGCAUCUUCGGGGUGGAUCCUUGGAGGUGCCUGCCGUCUCAUUGAGGCAUAGUGGUCCGUGUUGGAGGGGAAGCUCGGGAUGCUCGGCCUGACUGUUGUUAAGGUGAUCCUGAGGAUCUCCUGGGAGGAAUGGAGGCUGCACUGUUGGAGGAGGACACAUGGGGCAGAGGAGACGGCCCUCCUCAUCCAGGAUCUCCACGUCACCCUGGACGUCUCUUAGCCGGAUUCUCUCCGCACCCGGGACAUAAGGAGACACAGAGGCGCCACCUCAGCUGCAUUUUUGACCCACCACGUGUGCAGCUGUACACAGAGACUGGUAAAAGGGCGGGGUCAGUCUUGCGGUUUCCACCUUAACCGCUUCAUCCAAGGACCAGAAGUCCAGUCUAAUCACCACCAAUGAUGGACCAGCACGUGCCUUUUCUUCUGCAUCUGGCCUCAUCAAUCAUCAAGCACAUUACAUCAACACCUUGAGAUUUGGGCAUGUGUAGGAGCGUGCAGUGAAAAGGCAAACGAGACGAUUACUGCUGCUGUCUGAGCAGAUGAGAAGAGGAGAUGAGUAAACGCUAUACUUGACAGUUUUCUGACAUUCAGGAAAAACACUUGCUAUUGUCACUCUGCCCUCAUGUACCUGCAUGCAUGUGUAGUUUGAGUUUUUCUUUUCUCAGACAGAUAUAGAGUAUGUAUUCUAUAUAUUAUGCAACCCUUUUACAUCUGUGCUUCUGCUUGGCAUGUUACUUGUGUCUAACAAUGCAGCACAGUGUGAUCUUAUUUGGUCCUUAUUUCUAUCAAUAUUAAUAUCUCUCAUUUAUUGUUCUGCAUGUUUCAUCUUAUGGGACUUUGCGUUGCAUGUCUUAAAUGGUACCUGACAAUGUAUUCCUGAAUGAUGUUUUUAUUAACUUUAAUUAUCUUCUUUAUUCUUCUGCAUGCUUAUGGAUGAUCUCAAUAACUUUGUCAUUUCAAAAAUGGAUUAUAGCCUCUUGGCUAUCUCUGUUGCAUUCACAGCGAUGUUUAUUCAUGUGCACUGUCCCUGUUAAAUAAACAAGCAAACAAAUAAAAUA